UUUCCGUGGGUGAACCUGCGGAAGGAUCAUUAUUGGAUUUUGAAACUUCAGGCUGCUGCUGGCUCUCCUCGGAGGGCAUGUGCACGCUUGUUGUCCAUUAUUUCUCCCACUGUGCACAAAUUGUAGACCUUUCAGUAGGCCUAUGUUGUUUUUCACAAUCUCUGAAUGUAAUAGAAUGGAUUUGAAUCUUGGGAAAUACAAUACAACUUUCAGCAACGGAUCUCUUGGCUCUC
RNAcentral lists this unclassified non-coding RNA (233 nucleotides) under plant metagenome. RNAcentral describes it as "partial contains small subunit ribosomal RNA, internal transcribed spacer 1, and 5.8S ribosomal RNA". The record is from RNAcentral.